AUUGAACGCUGGCGGCAUGCUUUACACAUGCAAGUCGAACGGCAACGAGGAGAAGCUUGCUUCUCUGUCGGCGAGUGGCGAACGGGUGAGUAUAGCAUCGGAACGUGCCAAGUAGUGGGGGAUAACCAAACGAAAGUUUGGCUAAUACCGCGUAAGCUCCAAGGAGGAAAGUAGGGGACCUAAAUAAGGCCUUACGCUAUUUGAUCGGCCGAUGUCGGAUUAGCUAGUUGGUGGGGUAAUGGCUCACCAAGGCAAUGAUCCGUAGCGGGUCUGAGAGGACGAUCCGCCACACUUGGACUGAGACACGGCCCAGACUCCUACGGGAGGCAGCAGUGGGGAAUUUUGGACAAUGGGGGAAACCCUGAUCCAGCCAUGCCGCGUGUAUGAAGAAAGCCUUAGGGUUGUAAAGUACUUUUGUUAGGGAAGAAAAGCUAGUUUUUAAUAAAAAUUAGUGAUGACGGUACCUAAAGAAUAAGCACCGGCUAACUACGUG
RNAcentral lists this ribosomal RNA (493 nucleotides) under uncultured bacterium. RNAcentral describes it as "partial 16S ribosomal RNA". It matches the Rfam family "Bacterial small subunit ribosomal RNA", at positions 30 to 507 of the family's 1533-position model. The record is from RNAcentral.